RNAcentral lists this ribosomal RNA (288 nucleotides) under Klebsiella pneumoniae. Its description in RNAcentral is "partial 23S ribosomal RNA". It matches the Rfam family "Bacterial large subunit ribosomal RNA", at positions 1 to 280 of the family's 2925-position model. The record is from RNAcentral. Lineage: Bacteria; Pseudomonadati; Pseudomonadota; Gammaproteobacteria; Enterobacterales; Enterobacteriaceae.
GGGUUGUGAGGUUAAGCGACUAAGCGUACACGGUGGAUGCCCUGGCAGUCAGAGGCGAUGAAGGACGUGCUAAUCUGCGAAAAGCGUCGGUAAGGUGAUAUGAACCGUUAUAACCGGCGAUGUCCGAAUGGGGAAACCCAGUGCAAUUCGUUGCACUAUCGUUAACUGAAUACAUAGGUUAACGAGGCGAACCGGGGGAACUGAAACAUCUAAGUACCCCGAGGAAAAGAAAUCAACCGAGAUUCCCCCAGUAGCGGCGAGCGAACGGGGAGCAGCCCAGAGUCUGAA